UUUUUAUAGAGAUAUUUAUGUACUUAGAUAUAGACUAAAUUCACGUCGAAAUAUUUUGAAUCGUGGAUUGUUUUUAUUAUAAUUUUAUUAAAUUAUUUCAAUGAAAAAGUAAAAUUCGAUUUGUAAACAGAUAAAAUAUAUAUAUUAAAAGUAAUCUAUACAUUAGUAGAGAAUAUGGAAAGAGAGAGAGAGAGAGAGCGGAAGAAAUUUGCCUCUAGGGUACUAAUGCAUAGAGAUAAUGCAAUUGUCACAUCGAUUCUCCAUGAAAAUGAGUUCUACAAUGUUUUCGAACAAAGAAGAGCCGCGGCUCCACCCAUUUAUAUAAAUAUGAAACAUCUCGUUCAUGCUGAAACAGAAAAAAAAGGUUGAAUCAGAUGAUAAAAUAUGAUUUCUUACAGCUUGACAUGUCGUAAAAGUUAAAUAAUUCCCAUAUCCAAAAAUGUGUGCUAUUGACAGUGGCGCCAGACUGAGAAAGUUGUGCAAGGCAGUGAGGCUAUCAGCAUCUAAAACAGUACUCGGCAUCAUGUGCAAAUGUCACGACAGAACAAUCGCAUUCAGCUGUGUACCAUGUAGUGCAGAGAAUGAAAUCGAUAAUCGAUAGUGAUGAGGGCACAUCGAACAGCUAUGUUAACGUGUUGAAGGGCAGAUCUGCUCUAUAAAUUCCGAAACAAUAGGACCCUAAUGGAAAUUUCUCCCUGGCUGUUCUCUUAUAUGUUCAUCUUAAUGUACUAAAUAAAUCCAGAAUCGCACACUUGGGCUUAAACAACUUACACAACUUUAUAUAUAUUCUCCAACUUAAAUAUUGCGCUGUUAGUUAGAGCAUAAAAACUUAACCGAACUGAUUUUAAUUUUCGUGCCAACUGCAAGCAUAGAUGUAGAGAGUGUUCUUUAAUUUAAUGGAUUAAAAACGCCGUCGAGUUAUUAUUUUUUCCAUUUUUUUGAUUAGACUUUGCAGUAGCUCUUAGUUUUAAGCGUAAAAAAUGUCAGUUAGAAACUAUAUUAGUCUAAUUUACUCCGCAGUGCAGCUGACGUUUCUUAAUUACAUUGAUGCAAUUGCCUGGGCGAUCACUCCUAUCAUCCGUGGCACAUCCGACAGUUGGCACAGGCAUAACAAUCAAUUCAUACCCAAUAUAAACGUUAACUUAACCAUGACGAAAAGGCAGGUGAUACUCGGAUGUCGAAUGCAGAAAAUGGCAACAAAUUGUCUUCUCUUUUUUUUUUCCAGAAUAAAUAUUACGAAUUUAAUUUUUAUUUAAAUAAAAAAAAGAGAAGAUCACGUGCGAUUGAAAGAUACAAUAGAUAAACGAAUAGAAUUCUCUUAAAUUAAAUUACCUAACAAUUUCCCUAAAAGGAAAUUAUUUACCGACUCCAAAUUUGUUUUCCA
RNAcentral lists this long non-coding RNA (1384 nucleotides) under Androctonus crassicauda. The record is from RNAcentral. Lineage: Eukaryota; Metazoa; Arthropoda; Arachnida; Scorpiones; Buthidae.